RNAcentral lists this ribosomal RNA (400 nucleotides) under uncultured bacterium. Its description in RNAcentral is "bacterial SSU rRNA". It matches the Rfam family "Bacterial small subunit ribosomal RNA", at positions 355 to 747 of the family's 1533-position model. The record is from RNAcentral.
UCGAGGAUCUUUAGCAAUGGGCGAAAGCCUGACUAUGCGACGCCGCGUGAGGGAUGAAGGUUUUCGGAUCGUAAACCUCUUUCGAUGGGGAAGAAUACCUCAGCAAUAACAUUGUUGAGGGUUGACGGUACCUAGAGAAGAAGCCACGGCCAACUCCGUGCCAGCAGCCGCGGUAAUACGGGGGUGGCGAGCGUUACUCGGAUUCAUUGGGUGUAAAGGACAGGUAGGCGGCUAUGCAAGUUGGAGGUGAAAUCCUGCGGCUCAACCGCAGAACUGCCUUCAAAACUGCAUAGCUUGAGGCUAGAAGAGGAGAGUGGAAUUCCCGGUGUAAGGGUGAAAUCUGUAGAUAUCGGGAGGAACACCAGUGGCGCAAGCGGCUCUCUGGUCUAGCCCUGACGCU